AUUGAACGCUGGCGGCAGGCCUAACACAUGCAAGUCGAGCGGAUGAAGGGAGCUUGCUCCUGGAUUCAGCGGCGGACGGGUGAGUAAUGCCUAGGAAUCUGCCUGGUAGUGGGGGCUAACGUCCGGAAACGGGCGCUAAUACCGCAUACGUCCUGAGGGAGAAAGUGGGGGAUCUUCGGACCUCACGCUAUCAGAUGAGCCUAGGUCGGAUUAGCUAGUUGGUGGGGUAAAGGCCUACCAAGGCGACGAUCCGUAACUGGUCUGAGAGGAUGAUCAGUCACACUGGAACUGAGACACGGUCCAGACUCCUACGAGAGGCAGCAGUGGGGAAUAUUGGACAAUGGGCGAAAGCCUGAUCCAGCCAUGCCGCGUGUGUGAAGAAGGUCUUCGGAUUGUAAAGCACUUUAAGUUGGGAGGAAGGGCAGUAAGUUAAUACCUUGCUGUUUUGACGUUACCAACAGAAUAAGCACCGGCUAACUUCGUG
RNAcentral lists this ribosomal RNA (484 nucleotides) under uncultured bacterium. RNAcentral's name for it is "partial 16S ribosomal RNA". It matches the Rfam family "Bacterial small subunit ribosomal RNA", at positions 30 to 507 of the family's 1533-position model. The record is from RNAcentral.